GUGCCAGCAGCCGCGGUAAUACGUAGGGUGCAAGCGUUAAUCGGAAUUACUGGGCGUAAAGCGUGCGCAGGCGGUGAGAUAAGUCAGCUGUGAAAGCCCCGGGCUCAACCUGGGAACUGCGGCCGAAACUGUCUCGCUAGAGUACGUCAGAGGGGGGUGGAAUUCCACGUGUAGCAGUGAAAUGCGUAGAGAUGUGGAGGAACACCAAUGGCGAAGGCAGCCCCCUGGGAUGAUACUGACGCUCAUGCACGAAAGCGUGGGGAGCAAACAGGAUUAGAUACCCUGGUAGUCCACGCCCUAAACGAUGUCGACUAGCCGUUGGAGACCUCGGUCUUUGGUGGCGCAGCUAACGCGUGAAGUCGACCGCCUGGGGAGUACGGUCGCAAGAUUAAA
RNAcentral lists this ribosomal RNA (393 nucleotides) under uncultured bacterium. Its description in RNAcentral is "bacterial SSU rRNA". It matches the Rfam family "Bacterial small subunit ribosomal RNA", at positions 505 to 898 of the family's 1533-position model. The record is from RNAcentral.